This 1378-nucleotide ribosomal RNA is filed under the name Cardisoma carnifex (blue land crab). RNAcentral's name for it is "16S ribosomal RNA". The stretch from base 623 to 1378 matches the Rfam family "Archaeal large subunit ribosomal RNA", at positions 1423 to 2889 of the family's 2987-position model. Lineage: Eukaryota; Metazoa; Arthropoda; Malacostraca; Decapoda; Gecarcinidae. The record is from RNAcentral.
AGUUUAUAACUUGUUCGGUUUAGAAGAGUAAAGUUGUUGAUAAGAAAAGUAAUUUAUAAUUGAGUUUUUAAGUAGUAUAUAGUGAAAAAGAGGUAUAGGACUAUAGGGGAGAAGUACUGUGAAGGAAAGUGUUGCUUAUAAGAUUGAAGAUAGUAAAUUUUAAAUUUUGUAUUUUGUGUAUCAAAGGAGGUCGAUAUAAGCUAAUAAUUAUUAGAUAUCCCGAAAUAAAUACAGCUAACUUUAUAAAGGAGUUUUUGUGGAAAACAGAUUUUUAAUAUAAAGUUAAAGAUGAAAUGUCAGUCGAGUUUUAUUAUAUCUGGUUUUUUGAAAAUAAAUUUAAUUUGAUUUUUAUAGGAAUGAAAUGUAAAAUUUAAAUGUAGGAGGGAUUAGCUUCUUAUAAAUAAGGGUAAUAAAAAGUUAUUGUAUAGAAAGUAUUAUUGAACUAGGCUUAAAAGUAGCUAUGUUAAUAAAGUGUUUUAACUGAAUUGUAUGAGUAGGAAUGUUUAUUAUAACUUUUAAUAAGUAUCAAGAAAUUAACUAGGAUAAAAAAAGUUGGAAUAUAAUGAUUUUAUUAGUAGGGUUAAUGUGGAAUCGGAAUAUUAAAAUAAUUAUGUGUUUUUAAUAAUUUUGAAUGAUAGCAUAAAGGAAUUCGGCAAAUAAUUUCUUUGCCUGUUUAUCAAAAACAUGUCUGUUUGUAGAUAUAAAGAGUUUGACCUGCCCACUGAUAGAAUUUAAGGGCCGCGGUAUUUUGACCGUGCAAAGGUAGCAUAAUCGUUAGUUUUUUAAUUGGAAUCUUGUAUGAAUGGUUGGACAAAAGAAAAUCUGUCUCUAUAGCUAUAAAGUGAAUUUAACUUUUAAGUGAAAAGGCUUAAAUGAAUUAAAGGGACGAUAAGACCCUAUAAAGCUUAAUAUGGAGGUAUUAUUUGGUUGAAUUUUCAUAAUAUAAAAAUUUAGUGAUUUAGAAGUAUUAUAUUGGGGCGAUAAAAGUAAAAUGAUUGUUAACUGCUUAUUUGUUUAAACAAAAAUGAGUGAUUAAAGUUGUAGAGGGUCCUAGUUAUGGAUUAAAAGAUUAAGUUACUUUAGGGAUAACAGCGUUAUUUUUUUUGAGAGUUCAUAUCGAGAAAAGAGUUUGCGACCUCGAUGUUGAAUUAAAAUAUCUGUACAAUUGCAGUAGUUGUAUGAGAAGGUCUGUUCGACCUUUAAAUUUUUACAUGAUUUGAGUUCAGACCGGCGUGAGCCAGGUCGGUUUCUAUCUUUUAAUGAGGAGGUGGCUAUUUUAGUACGAAAGGAUUAAAUAGCUGAAAUUAUUUUUUGGUUGAUUUACUAUUUUGGCAGAUAAUAUGCACUGGAUUUAGGAUCCUGUUAAAUAGAGUAAGUU